Saimiri boliviensis boliviensis (Bolivian squirrel monkey) is the source of this 688-nucleotide non-coding RNA. The record is from RefSeq and is a predicted model, not a curated record. Lineage: Eukaryota; Metazoa; Chordata; Mammalia; Primates; Cebidae.
AUUGUGAUUUUAAAAAAGCAGCAGCAGCUGUAUGUGUCAUCAUAAAGAAUUCCAAUAGUCUGGACUUCUCCCAAGAUACCCUACUUAAAGAACAUUUUCUUAUGUUCCAUUUCAAUAUUUUGUUAACUAUGAGGAUGUGCUGGCUUGUUGAAUCAAACAGAAGGAAAUAUGGAAUAUUUUUCCAAAUAGUUUUGGUUCACUAUUCACAGGACGUUGGCAUUGACGUCUCCAGUUGAAAAUGUGCCUAUUCCAUGACUCAGGAUUUUAUCUCCUAGAUAUGUAUUCGGCAGAAAUGCAUGAGUAUGCACUAACAGGCAUGACAAGAAUAUUCAUAGUAGUGCUAUUCACAGUAGUCCCAAACCAGAAACCCAAGUGUAUGUCUCCAUUGGAACAGAAAACUCUACCUUGGUCUACUUCUACAGUGGCACAUCAACCCACCUUUGGAUCUAAGAAGUAUGUUCAUGCAACAGCUAUAGAGACGGUGCUGUUUAAAGGCAAUCUGCCCAUCCUGUGUAUUGACAAGCAUCAGGAUCCCACGAGGAUUCUUCCUCAUUCAAAGACUGGCAAACAGAAAAACACAGUAAAUGAACAAAAACAUCAACAUGGAGCUCAAGUAAAUAAUUUAUAAAGGAAAUGUAUACUACUUUGAAAACAAUAAAAGCUUAUGUUAGAAAAUAUCCUACUGUAA